RNAcentral lists this ribosomal RNA (468 nucleotides) under uncultured bacterium. RNAcentral describes it as "partial 16S ribosomal RNA". It matches the Rfam family "Bacterial small subunit ribosomal RNA", at positions 28 to 507 of the family's 1533-position model. The record is from RNAcentral.
GACGAACGCUGGCGGUGUGCUUAACACAUGCAAGUCGAACGGUAAGGCCCUUUCGGGGGUACACGAGUGGCGAACGGGUGAGUAACACGUGAGUAACCUGCCCUCAUCGCUGGGAUAACAGUCGACAACGGUUGCUAAUACGGGAUAUGAGCUUGCAAGGCAUCUUGUGGGUUGGAAAGAUUUUUUUUGGUGGGGGAUGGACUCGCGGCCUAUCAGCUUGUUCGUGAGGUAGUGGCUCACCAAGGCUUCGACGGGUAGCCGGCCUGGGAGGGCGACCGGCCACAUUGGGACUGAGAUACGGCCCCAACUCCUACGGGAGGCAGCAGUGGGGAAUAUUGCACAAUGGACGGAAGUCUGAAGCAGCAACGCCGCGUGCGGGAUGACGGCAGUCGGGUUGUAAGCCGCUAUCAAUUGUGACGAAGCUUUUUUGUGACGGUAGCAGUAGAAGAAGCACCGGCUAACUACGUG